This 442-nucleotide ribosomal RNA is filed under the name uncultured eukaryote. RNAcentral describes it as "bacterial SSU rRNA". It matches the Rfam family "Eukaryotic small subunit ribosomal RNA", at positions 13 to 433 of the family's 1831-position model. The record is from RNAcentral.
CCUGACGGUAGUCGUAUGCUCGUCUCCGAGACUAAGCCAUGCAAGUCCAAGUACACGUCCUUGAACGACGGAAACUGCGAACGGCUCAUUAAAUCAGUUGCGAUCUACUCGGCGUUCCGCGCCGCCGGAUAACCGUAGUAAUUCUAGGGCUAAUACGUGCGAAGCGCCCGAAGCCGCGAGGCGACGGGCGUUCUCGCCGGAUGUAGGAACCGACCCGGGGGACCGCCGGGGGCAACCCGGCGCCCCCGAGACGGGGCGAACCACGGUGAAAUGACGGAUCGUCGGCCCCGCGCCGGCGACUCGCCGAAUGAGUUUCUGACCUAUCAACUCGAGACGGCGGGGUAGAGGCCCGCCGCGGUAACGACGGGUAACGGGGAAUCAGGGUUCGAUUCCGGAGAGGGAGCCCGAGAAACGGCUACCACUUCCAAGGAAGGCAGCAGGC